This 799-nucleotide ribosomal RNA is filed under the name uncultured bacterium. RNAcentral describes it as "bacterial SSU rRNA". It matches the Rfam family "Bacterial small subunit ribosomal RNA", at positions 1 to 817 of the family's 1533-position model. The record is from RNAcentral.
UAGAGUUUGAUCAUGGCUCAGGAUGAACGCUGGCGGCGUGCUUAACACAUGCAAGUCGAACGGACUUAUAUUGAAACCUAGUGAAAUAUAAGUUAGUGGCGGACGGGUGAGUAACGCGUGGAUAACCUGCCGUAUACAGGGGGAUAACACUUAGAAAUAGGUGCUAAUACCGCAUAAGCGCACAGCUUCGCAUGAAGCAGUGUGAAAAACUGAGGUGGUAUACGAUGGUUCCGCGUCUGAUUAGCUAGUUGGUGGGGUAAUGGCCUACCAAGGCGACGAUCAGUAGCCGGCCUGAGAGGGUGAACGGCCACAUUGGGACUGAGACACGGCCCAAACUCCUACGGGAGGCAGCAGUGGGGAAUAUUGCACAAUGGGGGAAACCCUGAUGCAGCGACGCCGCGUGAGUGAAGAAGUCAUUCGUGAUGUAAAGCUCUAUCAGCAGGGAAGAAAAUGACGGUACCUGAGUAAGAAGCCCCGGCUAACUACGUGCCAGCAGCCGCGGUAAUACGUAGGUGGCAAGCGUUGUCCGGAUUUAUUGGGCGUAAAGCGAGUGCAGGCGGUUCAAUAAGUCUGAUGUGAAAGCCUUCGGCUCAACCGGAGAAUUGCAUCAGAAACUGUUGAACUUGAGUGCAGAAGAGGAGAGUGGAACUCCAUGUGUAGCGGUGGAAUGCGUAGAUAUAUGGAAGAACACCAGUGGCGAAGGCGGCUCUCUGGUCUGCAACUGACGCUGAGGCUCGAAAGCAUGGGUAGCGAACAGGAUUAGAUACCCUGGUAGUCCAUGCCGUAAACGAUGAGUGCU